Molecule: unclassified non-coding RNA, 335 nt
Filed under: uncultured fungus
Lineage: Eukaryota; Fungi
Description: partial contains 5.8S ribosomal RNA, internal transcribed spacer 2, and large subunit ribosomal RNA
Source: RNAcentral
AACGCAUAUUGCGCUCUGUCUCUGAUAGAGCAUGCCUGUUUGAGAAUCUAAUGUACUAUUCUACUGCUUGUUCUUUUGUCUGGCUGCAAAGUCUGGCAAGGGCGCAGAAGAGACUUGAGGCUUCUCUAAGGAGUGCCUUGGAAUUUAUUGACUAGACGCCGCGCAGAUGCUUGAUCUGGUGCGAUGCUGGCUGAACCGUAUUUGAAUGGAGCCGUGGCUUCUCAGUAUGCGAACUAAGCAGCAGCGCUGGAGAGUCUGUGGCCCGGCUAGUGGACUUGAAAGCCUCUGGCUUGAACCAUGGUCUCAAAUCAGGUAGGACUACCCGCUGAACUUAA